RNAcentral lists this unclassified non-coding RNA (254 nucleotides) under uncultured Pleosporales. Its description in RNAcentral is "sequence contains 5.8S rRNA gene, ITS2, 28S rRNA gene". The record is from RNAcentral. Lineage: Eukaryota; Fungi; Ascomycota; Dothideomycetes; Pleosporales.
AACGCACAUUGCGGCCAUAGGUAUUCCUUUGGCCAUGCCUGUUCGAGCGUCAUUUACACCUUCAAGCCCUGCUUGGUGUUGGGCGUCUGUCCCGCCGUCUCACGCGCGCGGACUCGCCUCAAAGUCAUUGGCGGCGGUCGUGCCGGCCCCUCGCGCAGCACAUUUGCGCUUCUCGGAGGCCCGGCGGAUCCGCGCUCCAGCAAGACCUUUCACGACUUGACCUCGGAUCAGGUAGGGAUACCCGCUGAACUUAA